RNAcentral lists this ribosomal RNA (468 nucleotides) under uncultured bacterium. RNAcentral describes it as "partial 16S ribosomal RNA". It matches the Rfam family "Bacterial small subunit ribosomal RNA", at positions 28 to 507 of the family's 1533-position model. The record is from RNAcentral.
GACGAACGCUGGCGGCGUGCUUAACACAUGCAAGUCGAACGGAAAGGCCCUGCUUUCGUGGGGUGCCCGAGUGGCGAACGGGUGAGUAACACGUGAGUAACCUGCCCUUGACUUUGGGAUAACUUCAGGAAACUGGGGCUAAUACCGGAUAGGAGCUCCUGCUGCAUGGUGGGGGUUGGAAAGUUUAGGCGGUUGGGGAUGGACUCGCGGCUUAUCAGCUUGUUGGUGGGGUAGUGGCUUACCAAGGCUUUGACGGGUAGCCGGCCUGAGAGGGUGGCCGGCGACAUUGGGACUGAGGUACGGCGCAGACUGCAACGUGGGACAGCGGUGGGGAAUAUUGCACAGUGGGCGGAAGUCUGAUACGGAGGCGCCGCGUGCGUGAUGACGGCCUUCGGGUUGUAAACCGCUUUCGCCUGUGACGAAGCGUGAGUGACGGUAAUGAGUAAAGAAGCACCGGCUAACUACGUG